This 22-nucleotide ribosomal RNA is filed under the name Inocybe albofloccosa. Its description in RNAcentral is "partial small subunit ribosomal RNA". The record is from RNAcentral. Lineage: Eukaryota; Fungi; Basidiomycota; Agaricomycetes; Agaricales; Inocybaceae.
GUGACCUGCGGAAGGAUCAUUU